GGCGUCCCAGGUGGGCGCCGCGCUCUGGGCCUCGCUCGGUGCCGGUGUCUUUUGUGGGGAUUUAAAGGUGCAGGCCGCGCCGUGAUGCCCGAGCCAGGCCUCGUGGGCAACGCCCCACACCUGGGUGGGUUUUGUGUUUUUUUUUUUCUCUUGUUUUUUUAAAGCGAACCUCGCGGCCGAGCCUGCGCAGUCGGCGCCCCGCCCCUCCCCUCCGCGAUCGGGACCCAGGAAAGGGGGAUGGUGUGUGCAAAGCCGCUUUGAGCACAGCGGCGACGCUGCCCGAGGAAAACGUCGCGAUCUGCCGCCUCUCGGGUCUUGGGGCUUGGGUUUGGGCUUGGCUCUUGUAGGUCACAGCUUUGACUGGCUUGGGAAGUCGCAGGCACUUGUCCCCCAUGUCCCCGAGUGUCCAGUCUCCCCUUGCCUUGAUCGCCAUGCUUCUGCAGGCUGCAGGUCCUGAUGGACUUCCUUCCCUUUUCUUAUUAGGAAUAAAUACUCCAAGAUGAUUGUUCUUAAACAGUACCUCUCUCGACUUUAUCAGGGUGAUUCCUACUUUGAUUUUGUCCGUAAUCUUAAAAUACUUUAUUUAAAAUAUUUCUAUCUUAAAAUAUUUCUCUUUGGUAGGAGGUGUUUUCAAAACACCUGUUUUCCUUUCCACUCUGUUGUCACCUUGCAAGGUGCAGGAAAGAGCUGUAUCUUUUUUUUUUUUUUAAGAAUUUUUUAAUAUUUAUUUUUCAGUUUUCGGUGGACACAGCACCUCCAUUUUACUUUUAUGUGGUGCUGAGGAUGGAACCCAGCGCCCCGCGCAUGCCAGGCGAGCCAGGCGAGCGCGCUACCGCUUGAGCCACAUCCCCAGCCCAAGAGCUGCGUUCCUAAUAUUGAGGUGACCCACACUCCAUGGAACUGGAAGGGGCCUGGAGAGAAUCCGGUGAAAUCCUCUCUGGCAGGGAGAUUUUUCCUAUUUUAUAAGAGAAGUGGGUGAGAACCCAAAAGGGCAAAUGUUGUACCUAAGGUAACACAAUAUUUGGAUGGCAAGUCCUUGUAGACAUGGACUGCUUUGUGCACUUUUUCCAAAAAUAAAAAUUUAAUGCUAAGUAGGCCUAGAGAUGUGUGAAAAUCCAUAACAGGUUAUCAGAGGAACCUAGGAUGUUUUUUUUUUUUUUUUUACCUAAACAGUAAUGAAUGUUUUGAUGAUGACUUCUGAUUUUCUAAUCCUUUCACUUCAUACUCUGAAGCUCUCUGAAUGAAGCACUCUGUAUAAACAUGCAUUCUCCUGAGGUGCAGGAACUUGUAAGAGAGGUUCCAUGACCUGCCCAGGGUUGCAGAUGCCUCAGUAAAGCCAGGGCCCUGGUGUACCCUUAUGGUGUUAAAUUUUAUGUAAUGAAUCAUCUCACCUGAUUGCCACAUUUGCAGUAGCGUUCAGGUAGGGCUCAUAACCCUUGAUUGACUUUGAUUGACUUGGCCAUCUUUCCUUGUAGACAGAUGCGGGUGAUUGACUUUGAUUGGCUUGGCCAUCUUUCCUUGUAGACAGAUGUGCGUGUGCACGCACCCACGGGCUGUGUGCUCCCUUAGGGCUGCACUGCUCUAAUGCUUUAAUUGGCUUUAUAAUUCUUAAUAGGCUUUGUAGGCACACAAAAAAAAUGCAGGUUGUAUUGUGCUGGCUGUACUUGCCUUCUCCUGAGCUCAUUAGAAGCAUCUGCAUUUCCAGUACUUUUAACAUUGCUUGACCAGCCUUUAAGGGAUUCUUGACUGGGUGCCCUUCUGAAUUGCCAGGUCCCGGGGUUCUGAAGCAGGGCCUGGCUUCAGCACUUCGCUGAGCAUCACGGGUAAUUCUGUGCUCUCCAGACCUGCACCACUGAUUUCAUUGCACACAUGCGUGACAAAACAAACCGCCACCCAGAGAUUGUUUAUUUACAGGGACAGGAGCUGGGGGCGGGGGGUGAUCAUGCAUCUAGCUGCACCUGCCCACACCGUGAGCCCUGGAUGGGGAUGUGCUGUGUCCCUUCUGUCCCUGCCCUCACGUAGUACCUGGUGCAGAGUGGUAAGGAGUGGCUAUGAGUGUUUUUCCUAGCAGCAGUGUGUGACAAACCGACAAUAUUUACAUUGUCCCCGUAUUUACAGAGGAACUGCAAAAAACAGGUUCUUGAGCUGGAAUGUGAGCCUGGGACUUCUGGCUCCUUGAACAGAGCUCUGUGGGUGACACUCAUCUGCCCCAGCUGUCCCCAGGGCAGGUCUCUUUCAGUCUGUUCCAUGGUCAAUAAUUGAUUGGUUUUUCCCUGUGAACUUGAGAGCAGGAACUAUCACAGUUUCAUUUUUGUACCUAGCUCAGUAAACAUGCCUCUUUGCCAUCCAACAUUAUUCUGCAUUUAAAUUUAAAUGAUAUAUAUUGACUCAUUGACAAUCAAAUUUUAAUUAAGCUGCUGGGGAUGUAGCUAGCCUGGCAUGCAUGAGGCACUGGGUUCUAUCCUCAGCACCACAUAAAAAUAAAGAUGUUGUGUCCACCGAAAAACUAAAAAAUAAAUAUUAAAAAAAAUUCUCUCUUAAAAAAAUUUAAUUAAAUAGUUGUAGAUGCAUAAAAAUUCGCAAAUUUUUGAGCAGAGAUCUGAUGUUAAGAAAAGAAUAAAUGGUGCUUUUCCUUUCUUGUAAAAUAAAUUAAUUGCUGACUUUUGUAUCCUGGAUGGGGAAGGCUUAAUCAUUGCCUUCAUAAGGACUUUAUCACAUCUCCUGUAAUAGUUUAUGCUUUCUUAUCUAUGGUAACCAUUUUCUCAGAUUUCUGUUGGGAUUGCUUAUAUAGUUAUUUCCCACUUGUGAAAUAAACGUUUAAACCUUGCACAG
RNAcentral lists this long non-coding RNA (2832 nucleotides) under Marmota monax (woodchuck). Lineage: Eukaryota; Metazoa; Chordata; Mammalia; Rodentia; Sciuridae. The record is from RNAcentral.